Molecule: long non-coding RNA, 643 nt
Filed under: Capra hircus (goat)
Lineage: Eukaryota; Metazoa; Chordata; Mammalia; Artiodactyla; Bovidae
Description: lncRNA (ENSCHIG00000004459.1)
Source: RNAcentral
CUCAGUCAUAGGUUCCCAAGCGUCAGCUCGUAGGGGAAUGGGAGGAGGCUGGGAGCUUUAAAUUGCCAAGUGUGACCAGAAAUCUAGGGAAGCCACUAAAGAAGUCAUGAGGAAACUGGCCAAGAUGUGGCCUGACUGAAGGCAGCGAGUGGUGAAACCACUACAGCUCAGACUGCCCAUGAACCUGUGUCAGUCAGGGGAGGGCAGAGGGCCAGACAGGGAGCAGGGAGGAAGCCAGGCCUUUUGCUGAGCUGAAUACAUCACCUGUGACCAGAGCCUGUGGACAGUUUAGCAAGUAGCCUCCCACUGUGCGUCUGUGCCUGGUGGGGCCAGGGAAGCUGUGAUGCAAAGCAGGAGAGACGACAGAACAGAGGAUCAGGUCUGUGGAAUGGACACAGGGCAUUAAAGUCAAACAACAGACACGAAGUACAACCGCAACGUGAUGGUGUUAGAUCUUCGAUGCAGACUCUGCAGACUCUGGUACAACCACGUGAUGGUGUUAGAUCUUCGAUGCAGACUCUGGAAACUGGCUUUGCGAACGUAAGCUCAAGACUCACCUCUGGCCAAAUCCAAGAAGCUGGCAAGUGGAAGAGGCAGGCAGGGAGGAGCUGUGAGUGUGCUGUGUUCUGAUCCCAGUAGGAAG